GAUGAACGCUGGCGGCGUGCUUAACACAUGCAAGUCGAACGGAAAGGCCCUGCUUUUGUGGGUUGCUCGAGUGGCGAACGGGUGAGUAACACGUGAGUAACCUGCCCUUGACUUUGGGAUAACUUCAGGAAACUGGGGCUCAUACCGGAUAGGAGCUCCUGCUGCAUGGUGGGGGUUGGAAAGCUUCGGCGGUUGGGGAUGGACUCGCGGCUUAUCCGCUUGUUUGUGGGGUAGUGGCUUACCAAGGCUUUGACGGGUAGGCGGCCUGAGAGGGUGACCGGCCACAUUGGGACUGAGGUACGGCCCAGACGCCUACGGGCGGCAGCAGGGGGGAGUAUUGCACAAUGGGCGGAAGCCUGAGGCGGCGACGCCGCGUGCGGGAUGACGGCCUUCGGGUUGUAAACCGCUUUCGCCUGUAACGAAGCGUGAGUGACGGUAAUGGGUAAGGAAGCACCGGCUAACUACGUG
RNAcentral lists this ribosomal RNA (468 nucleotides) under uncultured bacterium. RNAcentral's name for it is "partial 16S ribosomal RNA". It matches the Rfam family "Bacterial small subunit ribosomal RNA", at positions 28 to 507 of the family's 1533-position model. The record is from RNAcentral.